CUCAAGUUGAUGGAAGUUUGAGGCAAUAACAGGUCUGUGAUGCCCUUAGAUGUUCUGGGCCGCACGCGCGCUACACUGACAGAGCCAACGAGUUCUUUUCCUUGUUCGAAAGAAUUGGGUAAUCUUGUUAAACUCUGUCGUGCUGGGGAUAAAGCAUUGCAAUUAUUGCUUUUCAACGAGGAAUGCCUAGUAAGCGCGUGUCAUCAGCAUGCGUUGAUUACGUCCCUGACCUUUGUACACACCGCCCGUCGCUACUACCGAUUGAAUGGCUCGGCCCGUGCCCCCGCCCCGCCC
This 294-nucleotide ribosomal RNA is filed under the name Alternaria sp. Its description in RNAcentral is "partial small subunit ribosomal RNA". It matches the Rfam family "Eukaryotic small subunit ribosomal RNA", at positions 1428 to 1721 of the family's 1831-position model. Lineage: Eukaryota; Fungi; Ascomycota; Dothideomycetes; Pleosporales; Pleosporaceae. The record is from RNAcentral.